Chinchilla lanigera (long-tailed chinchilla) is the source of this 1613-nucleotide long non-coding RNA. Lineage: Eukaryota; Metazoa; Chordata; Mammalia; Rodentia; Chinchillidae. The record is from Ensembl.
CUAAUUUUCUAUCCCUCCCUUUAAUAUAAAUUGUGACACAGACAUUUAUCACACUGAAAGAAUGAGUGAAUAUUCUACCUCCAAGUUUUCCUGACUCCAUCUGAGGGUCUUUUUGUUUUUUGUUUUUUGUUUUUUUUUGGCAUGAAGAAACAAAUAACUUUACAUCGGAAGCAAAAGUCUAACUGGAAGGAAAGAGCUGAAAGGUACACAGUGGUAGAGGAGCGUGCACGCCCUGCCUGGUGUUCUCCUCCCCGGGGACAGUCCACACUCACUCCUCUUUGUCACCGUCCUCCAGGCUGAGCCUGCCACACAGGCAGUUAGCCAGGCCCUCCACGGGGGCCCCCGGCCUGUGUGGAUUGGUGAAUUCCUUGCCCAGCUCCCUGAGCACCAUGCCCAGGCAUGCAGGCAGAAGCCCAGAAGAAGUCCCUCAGGCGGGGGUCGCUCUUCCCGGCCGCCAGGCGGCGCAGCUCCAGGAGGCUCUGGCCCAAGGCGUCCUGCAGGCGGAAGGCGCGCUACACUGUCUGCGCGCCGCUGCCCCGCAAGGGGUCGCUGUGUGACUGCACAGUGUCCUGGGGACUACGGUGUCGCUGGGGACUACACCGCUGCUGCGCUCCGUGUGCAGCCCCAGGAGCUCUCCGCCAGCUCCCAGCGCAGUGUUUCCACAGCACCUGUGCCCUUCAAGUUUCAGCAGGAUGAGCACCCAGUCCCCACACACACUACAGAAACUGGCAAUUCAGAGCUUGCUGAGGGACAAGGCCUUGGCCAUGGAGGCCGUGGAAUAUCUGCCAGGGGCGCUCUUCCCACCAGUGUUCAUGGAGGCCUUCACUGGGGGACACACUGAGGUCCUGAAGGCCAUGUUGCUGGCCUGGCCCUUUCCCUGCCUACCCCUAGGAUCCCUGAUGGAGAUGAGGACACCAGGUUCUUUGGACACUCAGAAGAAUGUUCACCAGAUGAAGGAAAGAAUGUUUCAAGCUGUGCUGGAAGGGAUUCACAUGCUGCUGAGCCAGAAGGUUUGCUCCAGGAAGUUCAAAUUGCAAGUGCUCGAUAUGCGGGCUGUGCACCAGAACUUCUGGACAGUCUGUGCUGAAAACAAGUUGCAAGCCUGCUCCUCAGAAACCAUGAAGAGGAGAAAAACAAGGAAGAGUCUGCCAAGAGUGGCAAAAAAGCAGCCCCUCAAGGUGAUUGUAGAUCUGUGGAUCAUGAAUGAGUGGCUGGAUCCAGUGGAUAGCUACCUCCUCAAGUGGGUCCAGGAGAUGGAAAACCGGGUGCACCUGCAGUGUCCGAAGAUGUGUAUCACGGGCCUGUGCACCGAACGGGUCACAAAGAUCCUCAAAAAGCUGAAUCUUUAUUCUGUGCGGGAGAUGGAUGUGCUUUUCUCCUGGACAAUGUUUUCCUUGGCUCAUUUUGCCCCUUUUCUGGGACAGAUGAGAAAUCUUCACAAAGUGUUUAUUUCUCACGUCUUUGUGCCUGCCACCAUUUCCCCAGAAAUGAGAGAGAAGUUGUUCACCAAAAUCACCUCUCAAUUUCGUAAGCUUCACUGUUUACAAGAGAUUUAUAUGGACUCCGUUGAGUUCCUUGAAGGCCAUUUGGACCAGGUGCUCAGGUAAGAUGUG